Molecule: long non-coding RNA, 1060 nt
Filed under: Triticum aestivum (bread wheat)
Lineage: Eukaryota; Viridiplantae; Streptophyta; Magnoliopsida; Poales; Poaceae
Description: long non-coding RNA (TAES_LNC010179)
Source: RNAcentral
UUUUAUCGCAACUCUAUCCAGUGGCCUAACUGAUCGAAUGUUGAUCACAUGUUAAAACAUAUCAGUAGAAAAUAAGUUAGUAUUCAUGGCAUGUACCAUGUAGAGUAAAAUCAUAUUGAUAGUUACACUAUUUUAGAAAGAAGUUACCUCAGCACUGAUUCCUUCCUCCGACAGUAUUCAGCAGCCUGUAAACAAACUGAGCAUUAUAAUAUGUCAAAAUAAAAAUGCUGAGAGAGUAAUUCAAUCCAGCAACAGAACAUUCCAUAUUAGGACAAAAAUACAAAAGAAAACCACAAUUUCCAAAAGGUCUGUAUCUGAAUGAAAUCAUUGCACACACCAGAGCAAAGUUGAUAUUGUUAUAAAAAUGUACUUCUUGCUACAAGGACAAAACCAGAAAAGACCAUGUGCAAAAUAAACUUUCUCGUCAAUCUAGCUAGGGGCCUGUUCAUAUGAAGAAGAGAAGGAUCAGCAAAGAAAAUAACAUAUCAAGAAAAGAAAAGAAAAUAUAUUAGAAUGUAAAUAUGUUUGCUCAUCAAUUACCUUCUGCCUUUUUGAUAAACAUAUUAUAUUUUAAUUUGCUCAGUUGUUUUCUUUUUCUUUUUUAGCAAACUGCCAUAUAUGGUACACGAAGAAGCAUUUACCUGAAGGCAUUAAUAUCUUUUUCAGCUUUUUAGUCUUACUGAAUACUCCUGAAGGAGUCAAGGACUUGUUUGCUACUGUAUAUUAAUAGGAGUAGGUAAAAGGCCAGUGUGGGUGAAAAUAUUAUAAGGACAAAUACAUUAAAUUCAAUGACAAAAUCAAGCUUUCAAAUGAUGCUUAUGUGGUAUUGCAACAAACUCCGACAUCCAAAUGUACUGUAAAAUAAAAAAAUUAACAUCUGCUGUGAGCGAGCACAAGUAUCGAUCAAUUUUACAAUUGAUGAUUUAGAUCCUAAGAGGCUAUAUUUCUUUAUUCAAAUGAUAUAAAUAAAUUAAAUAAGAUGAGAGUGAGACUACAUACAUAAAGCUGAAUGUGCAAGAUCGACAUCAUCCCCUAAGUGCUUCUCUUCUCAACUGCUUCC